UAUGGCCUUACCAACCUGAACAUGCCCAAUCUUAUCUGAUCUCAGAAGCUAAGCAGGGUUGGGCCUGGUUAGUACUUAGAUGGGAGAAACUUGGCGAGCACCAGCUCCAAGCCAGGU
RNAcentral lists this ribosomal RNA (117 nucleotides) under Theropithecus gelada (gelada). Lineage: Eukaryota; Metazoa; Chordata; Mammalia; Primates; Cercopithecidae. The record is from RNAcentral.